CCCUUAGAUGUCCGGGGCCGCACGCGCGCUACACUGAAGGAAUCAGCGUGGCUUUCUCCCUGACCCGAAAGGGUUGGGAAACCCGUUGAAUCUCCUUCGUGAUAGGGAUUGGGGCUUGAAAUUGUUCCCCAUGAACGAGGAAUUCCCAGUAAGCGCGAGUCAUAAGCUCGCGUUGAUUACGUCCUGCCCUUUGUACACACCGCCCGUCGCUACUACCGAUUGAACGGUUUAGUGAGGGCCUCGGAUUGGUCUCGGCCCGCUCUUUACCGGGCGGCGCCGUUGGUCGAGAAGACGCUCGAACUUGAUCGUUUAGAGGAAGUAAAAGUCGUAACA
Molecule: ribosomal RNA, 333 nt
Filed under: uncultured eukaryote
Lineage: Eukaryota
Description: partial 18S ribosomal RNA
Rfam family: Eukaryotic small subunit ribosomal RNA
Source: RNAcentral